UACGUAGGGUGCAGGCGUUAAUCGGAAUUACUGGGCGUAAAGCGUGCGCAGGCGGUUUGCUAAGACAGGUGUGAAAUCCCAAGGCUUAACCUUGGAACUGCGUCGGAUACUGGUUGGCUUGAAUUCGGGAGAGGGAUGCAGAAUUCCAGGUGUAGCGGUGAAAUGCGUAGAUAUCUGGAGGAAUACCGGUGGCGAAGGCGGCAUCCUGGACCGACAUUGACGCUGAGGAGCGAAAGCUAGGGGAGCAAACGGG
Molecule: ribosomal RNA, 253 nt
Filed under: uncultured bacterium
Lineage: Bacteria
Description: partial 16S ribosomal RNA
Rfam family: Bacterial small subunit ribosomal RNA
Source: RNAcentral